AUUAAAAACAGUGACACGUUAGCUAGUAGCUAGGCUACCUUUCUCACUUACUCCAGGUGAAUUGUAGGUUAUCUAACUGUUAAGAGUUUAAUUCCGACUUUUAAACCGACACAACCUUAUUUUUUUAUGUACAUAUGAUUAAUUUUCCGUGUUGCUCCGAACUUGUUCUUGCUAAAAGUUGAUGCUAACAGACAAGCUAAUAUUAACGUCAUAUUACUUCGCUUUUUUUUUAUUUCACGUCCGAGAAGACGGGCAGCUGGAAAUUUUUUGUCAAGCUUCAACUUUGGCGCAGCGGCUAAUUCUGGAAAGAUGCUGAGGUUUUUUCUCAAGAGACUGGAGUUAAUAGUAACACGAGACAUGAGUGCAGCAGUCAACCACAGGUCAGACCAGCCGAUGCCGGGAACUCUGUCCCUGAGGGACUGCAAGGUCAGCAGCUGCUGUGACAGACUAAGCUUACCAAAUCUGCAGUUUGCAAAAUUUUAAUCUUUACUAGCUACUACAACAUGCUUACAUGUAUUUUAAAAAAAGGGAAAUGUGGUAAAACCAGUGGUGAAGUAACUGAGCUGCUUUGCGCCAUUUGGGUGACUCAUUUCCACAAGAAUGUGUGCUUAUUGAUGUGGUUUAUAGUGAAAGUGGCGGCCAAAAAAACUCAAGUUUUACAGGCACGUGCUCAGCUCUCUGCCUGACUGUACAGUCUCAGUCACAGAUCAACGUGGAUUCAGUCAAAAUACACAUAUAGGUUUAUUUAUGACAUUAUGGGAACCUUUUAUCACAUAUAUGUUGUUCACAUGAUGAGUAUUUACAUGUUUAAAAUUGCACCGCGCCUCACUUGAAUCCACAUAAAUUCAUACUAACUUUAAAUGCUUUAUAAUAAUUUACAAGUUAAUAUUUAAUAAUGAUAACAAUAGAUUAACCUUUUUUAUUCCUAAUUUUUUUUAAUCUCUAUUA
Molecule: long non-coding RNA, 948 nt
Organism: Xiphophorus couchianus (Monterrey platyfish)
Lineage: Eukaryota; Metazoa; Chordata; Actinopteri; Cyprinodontiformes; Poeciliidae
Exons: 3
Source: RefSeq, a predicted model, not a curated record